AUUGAACGCUGGCGGCAGGCCUAACACAUGCAAGUCGAGCGGUAGCACAGAGAGCUUGCUCUCGGGUGACGAGCGGCGGACGGGUGAGGAAUGUCUGGGAAACUGCCUGAUGGAUGGGUAUAACUACUGGAAACGGUAGCUAAUACCGCAUAAUGUCGCAAGACCAAAGUGGGGGACCUUCGGGCCUCAUGCCAUCAGAUGUUCCCAGAUGGGAUUAGCUAGUAGGUGGGGUAAUGGCUCACCUAGGCGACGAUCCUUAGCUGGUCUGAGAGGAUGACCAGCCACACUGGAACUGAGACACGGUCCAGACUCCUACGGGAGGCAGCAGUGGGGAAUAUUGCACAAUGGGCGCAAGCCUGAUGCAGCCAUGCCGCGUGUGUGAAGAAGGCCUUCGGGUUGUAAAGCACUUUCAGCGGGGAGGAAGGCGAUAAGGUUAAUAUCCUUGUCGAUUGACGUUACCCGCAGAAGAAGCACCGGCUAACUCCGUGCCAGCCGCCGCCGUAA
This 504-nucleotide ribosomal RNA is filed under the name uncultured bacterium. RNAcentral describes it as "partial 16S ribosomal RNA". It matches the Rfam family "Bacterial small subunit ribosomal RNA", at positions 30 to 523 of the family's 1533-position model. The record is from RNAcentral.